ACUCCUACGGGAGGCAGCAGUGGGGAAUAUUGGACAAUGGGCGCAAGCCUGAUCCAGCACAUGCCGCGUGAGUGAUGAAGGCCUUAGGGUUGUAAAGCUCUUUC
This 104-nucleotide ribosomal RNA is filed under the name uncultured Hyphomicrobiales bacterium. RNAcentral's name for it is "uncultured Rhizobiales bacterium partial 16S ribosomal RNA". It matches the Rfam family "Bacterial small subunit ribosomal RNA", at positions 335 to 437 of the family's 1533-position model. Lineage: Bacteria; Pseudomonadati; Pseudomonadota; Alphaproteobacteria; Hyphomicrobiales. The record is from RNAcentral.